GAUGAAGAACGCAGCGAAAUGCGAUAAGUAAUGCGAAUUGCAGAAUUCCAGUGAGUCAUCGAAUCUUUGAACGCACAUUGCGCCCGCUAGUAUUCUGGCGGGCAUGCCUGUCCGAGCGUCAUUUCAACCCUCAAGCCCCCGGGCUUGGUGUUGGGGAUCGGCGAGCCUCCGCGCCCGUCGUCCCCUAAAUCUAGUGGCGGUCUCGCUGUAGCUUCCUCUGCGUAGUAGCACACCUCGCACUGGGAAACAGCGCGGCCACGCCGUUAAACCCCCAACUUCUGAACGUUUGACCUCGGAUCAGGUAGGAAUACCCGCUGAACUUAAGCAUAUCAAUAAGCGGAGGA
This 344-nucleotide unclassified non-coding RNA is filed under the name soil metagenome. RNAcentral's name for it is "partial contains 5.8S ribosomal RNA, internal transcribed spacer 2, and large subunit ribosomal RNA". The stretch from base 1 to 121 matches the Rfam family "5.8S ribosomal RNA", at positions 35 to 154 of the family's 154-position model. The record is from RNAcentral.